RNAcentral lists this long non-coding RNA (508 nucleotides) under Homo sapiens (human). RNAcentral's name for it is "HSALNT0047000". The record is from RNAcentral. Lineage: Eukaryota; Metazoa; Chordata; Mammalia; Primates; Hominidae.
GUCAGACGUGCGACAGGAAGGGCUCAGCGAGGCGAGAGCGAAGCUGUGAGGAAGGAAGGCAGGGCCCUGGAGUGACUUUCUUUGAAGCUGGUGUCCACUCACUCUUUCUCUCCAGAGCUUUGGCCAGCUAGCCCCAGAAAUCUUCCAGUGGCCCAUCAGAGAGCAAGCUGGCAGAGCUGUCACUCCCGCCAUGGAAGUCAGCACAUAAAACAUUCUACUGUGGAAAUCAGAAAAAGCAAGAUUAUCUUAGGAGAAACACAAUCUCUCGUCUUAAAGAUGAAAGGACUGCACCUUGAGAGGCCCUUCCUGUUGAGUUGUCAUCUGAACAAAUCAGAGUGGUGGUUGAGGACACCAGAUGUAUUAUUUCCUGCCACAGCAAAUUGGAGGGCUCGCACUGUUCCACCGCCAUCAACUUAGGAAGCAAUUGAAUUUGUUGAUUAUCUUUGCAAGAGGGAGAAGCUUAGCAUCAAUGAAGACAUUGGUAUUUGGUAGGUAUUCAUUUAAUCUC